AGUGAACGCUGGCGGUAGGCCUAACACAUGCAAGUCGAACGGCAGCACAGGAGAGCUUGCUCUCUGGGUGGCGAGUGGCGGACGGGUGAGGAAUACAUCGGAAUCUACUUUUUCGUGGGGGAUAACGUAGGGAAACUUACGCUAAUACCGCAUACGACCUACGGGUGAAAGCAGGGGAUCUUCGGACCUUGCGCGAUUGAAUGAGCCGAUGUCGGAUUAGCUAGUUGGCGGGGUAAAGGCCCACCAAGGCGACGAUCCGUAGCUGGUCUGAGAGGAUGAUACGCCACACUGGAACUGAGACACGGUCCAGACUCCCACGGGAGGCAGCAGUGGCGAAUAUUGGACAAUGGGCGCAAGCCUGAUCCAGCCAUACCGCGUGGGUGAAGAAGGCCUUCGGGUUGUAAAGCCCUUUUGUUGGGAAAGAAGUCCAGCUGGUUAAUACCCGGUUGGGAUGACGGUACCCAAAGAAUAAGCACCGGCUAACUUCGUGCCAGCCGCCGCCGUAA
Molecule: ribosomal RNA, 506 nt
Filed under: uncultured bacterium
Lineage: Bacteria
Description: partial 16S ribosomal RNA
Rfam family: Bacterial small subunit ribosomal RNA
Source: RNAcentral